RNAcentral lists this long non-coding RNA (236 nucleotides) under Gossypium barbadense (sea-island cotton). Its description in RNAcentral is "long non-coding RNA (GBAR_LNC004050)". The record is from RNAcentral. Lineage: Eukaryota; Viridiplantae; Streptophyta; Magnoliopsida; Malvales; Malvaceae.
CCGGUUGAAUGAAAGGAAAAUUCGAUGGAUCUCUAAAAAGGAAUUGACGGUAAAAAGGAUCUAGCCCGGACGGGUGAUCCUAUCCUGAUAUAGCCCUCCCGAAGAAUACGUGUAAAACGGAUUUAGCCCGGACGGGUAAUCCGAAUUAGGGUCUGAAUUUAGCCUGGACUGGUAAUUCAGAUCCAAGCUCAUUAGAGUAAUUGUCGUUGCAGGGGAUUUAGCCUGGACUAGUAAUC